GCCCCAGUGGUGGAACGGUAGACGCGCUGGACUCAAAAUCCAGUGUCCGCAAGGACGUGGGGGUUCAAGUCCCUCCUGGGGCACCA
This 86-nucleotide transfer RNA is filed under the name Alphaproteobacteria bacterium. Its description in RNAcentral is "tRNA-Leu". It matches the Rfam family "tRNA". Rfam says of the family: Transfer RNA (tRNA) molecules are approximately 80 nucleotides in length. Their secondary structure includes four short double-helical elements and three loops (D, anti-codon, and T loops). Further hydrogen bonds mediate the characteristic L-shaped molecular structure. tRNAs have two regions of fundamental functional importance: the anti-codon, which is responsible for specific mRNA codon recognition, and the 3' end, to which the tRNAs corresponding amino acid is attached (by aminoacyl-tRNA synthetases). tRNAs cope with the degeneracy of the genetic code in two manners: having more than one tRNA (with a specific anti-codon) for a particular amino acid; and 'wobble' base-pairing, i.e. permitting non-standard base-pairing at the 3rd anti-codon position. RNAcentral also lists the same sequence under 2 other names. Lineage: Bacteria; Pseudomonadati; Pseudomonadota; Alphaproteobacteria. The record is from RNAcentral.